UACGGGGGGGGCAAGCGUUGUUCGGAAUUACUGGGCGUAAAGGGCUUGUAGGCGGCCAACUAAGUCAGACGUGAAAUCCCUCGGCUUAACCGGGGAACUGCGUCUGAUACUGGAUGGCUUGAGUUCGGGAGAGGGAUGCGGAAUUCCAGGUGUAGCGGUGAAAUGCGUAGAUAUCCGGAGGAACACCGAAGGCGAAGGCAGUGUCCUGGCGAGUGACUGACGCUGAGGUGCGAAAGCCAGGGGAGCGAACGGG
This 253-nucleotide ribosomal RNA is filed under the name uncultured bacterium. Its description in RNAcentral is "partial 16S ribosomal RNA". It matches the Rfam family "Bacterial small subunit ribosomal RNA", at positions 524 to 776 of the family's 1533-position model. The record is from RNAcentral.